Molecule: ribosomal RNA, 253 nt
Filed under: uncultured bacterium
Lineage: Bacteria
Description: partial 16S ribosomal RNA
Rfam family: Bacterial small subunit ribosomal RNA
Source: RNAcentral
GACGUAGGGGGCAAGCGUUGUCCGGAAUCAUUGGGCGUAAAGAGCGUGUAGGCGGUUCGGUAAGUCGGCUGUGAAAGUCCAGGGCUCAACCCUGGGAUGCCGGUCGAUACUGCCGGACUAGAGUUCGGAAGAGGCGAGUGGAAUUCCCGGUGUAGCGGUGAAAUGCGCAGAUAUCGGGAGGAACACCUAUGGCGAAGGCAGCUCGCUGGGACGUUACUGACGCUGAGACGCGAAAGCGUGGGGAGCAAACAGG